This 761-nucleotide long non-coding RNA is filed under the name Sparus aurata (gilthead seabream). RNAcentral describes it as "lncRNA (ENSSAUG00010006806.1)". The record is from RNAcentral. Lineage: Eukaryota; Metazoa; Chordata; Actinopteri; Spariformes; Sparidae.
ACACACACCAUGUUGCACCGUCAUGUUUAACCCCCCUCCCCCUCCUCUUCCCCCCCCCCCCCCACUGCUGCAGAAUGGACUGGUCCAGAGAGAGAGAGGGAGGGAGGGAGAGAGACACUGACAGGUAAUGGGCUGAAACUCAUGGAGAGAGAGAGAGAGAGAGAGAGAGAGAGAGAGAGAGAGGCACACUGCUGCUAUCACACACACACACACACACACACACACAGCGGGACUAUAUUUGGGCUGAGCGCAGUAGAACAGUUGAUGACGGAGCUGCUGGAUGUUUCUGACGGACACCGGCACCAACAGACAGACCGCUGAGCUGAAGAAUCUGAGCUGCAGAGAAACUCCAGCCUGAAGAUACGCAGACGCAGAUGUUUUCCUCUCACACUGAAGGCAGAAUAAAAUACCCUGAAUUCAUCUGAUUUAAGUGAAACUGGAUCUUUCUCUGACACAGUGUGUUUGAUCGGAUGUGAAGCCGCCUCGUCACAUUAUCAUAAAACAGAACUAUAAACAGUUCAGUGGACAGAGUGAGUUGAACCUGCUCAACACACUCAGACUGUUCUCGUCCGGUCGGCUGCGGUGGAAGAAGAACUCAGAAAUAUUAAAGAUAUAAAAGUAAAUGAACAUUCAUGCAGAAAUCCUCCAGUGUCAGACUGAAACUGUCACAUUUUAACAGAUUAAUUAUUCAGUGACAGCAGACACCAGCAGAGAUCAAUAACACAGCACACAGAAAUAUGUGUGUGCAGAGAAGAGAAAAG